CCCUUAGAUGUUCUGGGCCGUACGCGUGCUACACUGAGUGGAUCAGCGGGUCAGGUUGCGCGAAAGCGUUUCCUAAUCUUUAAAUCCGCUCGUGAUGGGGAUUGACGGUUGCAAUUUUCUGCCAUGAACGAGGAAUACCUUGUAAGCGCGGGUCAUCAUCCCGCGCUGAAUACGUCCCUGCCCUUUGUACACACCGCCCGUCGCUCCUACCGAUUGAGUGGUCCGGUGAGGCUUUGGGAUCUGAGCGGAAAGAGCGUUUCGCUGUUUCUGCUCGGAAAACUCAGUCGAACCUUAUCAUUUAGAGGAAGGAGAAGUCGUAACA
This 322-nucleotide ribosomal RNA is filed under the name uncultured eukaryote. RNAcentral's name for it is "partial 18S ribosomal RNA". It matches the Rfam family "Eukaryotic small subunit ribosomal RNA", at positions 1470 to 1796 of the family's 1831-position model. The record is from RNAcentral.